UACCGGAUGGUAUAGUUUUCCCGCAUGGGAUGAUUAUUAAAGAAUUUCGGUUGUCGAUGGGGAUGCGUUCCAUUAGGCAGUUGGCGGGGUAACGGCCCACCAAACCUACGAUGGAUAGGGGUUCUGAGAGGAAGGUCCCCCACAUUGGAACUGAGACACGGUCCAAACUCCUACGGGAGGCAGCAGUGAGGAAUAUUGGUCAAUGGACGAGAGUCUGAACCAGCCAAGUAGCGUGAAGGAUGACUGCCCUAUGGGUUGUAAACUUCUUUUAUACGGGAAUAAAGUGAGCCACGUGUGGCUUUUUGUAUGUACCGUAUGAAUAAGGAUCGGCUAACUCCGUGCCAGCAGCCGCGGUAAUACGGAGGAUCCGAGCGUUAUCCGGAUUUAUUGGGUUUAAAGGGAGCGUAGGCGGGUUGUUAAGUCAGUUGUGAAAGUUUGCGGCUCAACCCGUAAAAAUUGCAGUUGAUACUGGCGACCUUGAGUGCAACAGAGGUAGGCGGAAUUCGUGGUGUAGCGGUGAAAUGCUUAGAUAUCACGAAGAACUCCGAUUGCGAAGGCAGCUUACUGGAUUG
Molecule: ribosomal RNA, 572 nt
Filed under: uncultured bacterium
Lineage: Bacteria
Description: bacterial SSU rRNA
Rfam family: Bacterial small subunit ribosomal RNA
Source: RNAcentral